Molecule: ribosomal RNA, 607 nt
Filed under: Microbacteriaceae bacterium Ri2Pw_6083
Lineage: Bacteria; Bacillati; Actinomycetota; Actinomycetes; Micrococcales; Microbacteriaceae
Description: bacterial SSU rRNA
Rfam family: Bacterial small subunit ribosomal RNA
Source: RNAcentral
GCGUGAGGUGACGACGGCCACGGGUUGUAAACCUCUUUUAGUAGGGAAGAAGCGAAAUUGACGGUACCUGCAGAAAAAGCACCGGCCAACUACGUGCCAGCAGCCGCGGUUAUACGUAGGGUGCAAGCGUUAUCCGGAAGUAUUGGGCGUUAAGAGCUCUUAGGCGGUCUGUCGCGUCUGCUGUGAAAACUGGGGGCUCAACCCCCAGCCUGCAGUGGGUACGGGCAGACUAGAGUGCGGUAGGGGAGAUUGGAACGCCUGGUGUAGCGGUGGAAUGCGCAGAUAUCAGGAAGAACACCGAUGGCGAAGGCAGAUCUUUGGGCCGUAACUGACGUUGAGGAGCGAAAGCAUGGGGAGCGAACAGGAUUAGAUACCCUGGUAGUCCAUGCCGUAAACGUUGGGAACUAGAUGUAGGGUCCAUUCCACGGAUUCUGUGUCGCAUCUAACGCAUUAAGUUCCCCGCCUGGGGAGUACGGCCGCAAGGCUAAAACUCAAAGGAAUUGACGGGGGCCCGCACAAGCGGCGGAGCACGCGGAUUAAUUCGAUGCAUCGCGAAUUAAUCUUAUCAAGGCUUGACAUAUAUUAGGAAAAGGCUGGAAACAGUCUC